This 778-nucleotide ribosomal RNA is filed under the name Leptogium burnetiae. RNAcentral's name for it is "SSU rRNA". It matches the Rfam family "Bacterial small subunit ribosomal RNA", at positions 349 to 1192 of the family's 1533-position model. Lineage: Eukaryota; Fungi; Ascomycota; Lecanoromycetes; Peltigerales; Collemataceae. The record is from RNAcentral.
CAGCAGUGAGGAUAUUGGUCAAUAGCCUAACGGCUGAACCAGCAACUUGGAGGAAUGUAUAGCUAAAGCUAACUGUGUUUUGUAAAAAAUAUAGAUUCGAUUUAUUCGUAUAAAGUUCAAGGUAGAGUUAUGAUAAUGACAUUUUCUAUCUAUAGUCUUGACCAACAUGCGUGCCAGCAGUCGCGGCAAGACGCUAAAGACAAGUGUUAUUCAUCUUUAAUAGGUUUAAAGCGUACCUAGACGGUAAAUCAAGCCUUAAUCGGGACUAAUUUAACUAGAGUUAGAUGUAAGGGUGCAUUAACGUACUGUUGAGUGUAGAGAUGAAAUUCUUUCAUACCAGAUGAUUGGCACGGGUUUAGGCGAAAGCAUCACCUUAUGUAAUAACUGACGUUGAAGGACGAAGGCUUUGUAUCGCGAACAGGAUUAGAUACCCCAGUAGUCUAAGCAGAAAAUGAUGAGUGUCAUAGGUUAAAUAUUAUUUAGUCUAUAAAUGAAAGUGUAAGCAUUCCACCUCAUGAGUAAUUUGGCAACAUUGGAAUUGAAAUCAUUAGACCGUUUCUGAAACCAGUAGUGAAGUAUGUUGUUUAAUUAGAUGAUCCACAAAGAACCUUACCACAAUUUGAAUAUUUUUAUUUUACAAGCGUUGCACGGCUGUCUACAGUUAAUGUCGUGAGAUUCUGGUUAGUUCCAUUUAAUUAACGUAAACCCUAACUUUAUUUUAUUUAUAUAAAGUUGUUCGCCGCUAGAUUGGUAUGAUAAAAGGGGGUAAGACAAGUCA